This 484-nucleotide ribosomal RNA is filed under the name uncultured bacterium. RNAcentral's name for it is "partial 16S ribosomal RNA". It matches the Rfam family "Bacterial small subunit ribosomal RNA", at positions 28 to 507 of the family's 1533-position model. The record is from RNAcentral.
AUUGAACGCUGGCGGCAUGCUUUACACAUGCAAGUCGAACGGCAGCGCGGGCUUCGGCCUGGCGGCGAGUGGCGAACGGGUGAGUAAUGCAUCGGAACGUGCCCAGUAGUGGGGGAUAGCCCGGCGAAAGCCGGAUUAAUACCGCAUACGACCUGAGGGUGAAAGCGGGCGACCGAAAGGCCUCGCGCUAUUGGAGCGGCCGAUGUCGGAUUAGCUAGUUGGUGGGGUAAAGGCUUACCAAGGCGACGAUCCGUAGCUGGUCUGAGAGGACGACCAGCCACACUGGGACUGAGACACGGCCCAGACUCCUACGGGAGGCAGCAGUGGGGAAUUUUGGACAAUGGGGGCAACCCUGAUCCAGCCAUGCCGCGUGCGGGAAGAGGGCCUUCGGGUUGUAAACCGCUUUUGUUCGGGAAGAAAUCCUCUGGGCUAAUACCCCGGGGGGAUGACGGUACCGGAAGAAUAAGCACCGGCUAACUACGUG